GGGUCAGUAGGUUGGUCGCACCACCGGUACGUACUGGUCUCACUGAUUCCUCCUUCCUGAAGAACCGUAAUGCCAUUAAUUUGGUGUUGCGGGGAAACAGGACUGUUACUUUGAAAAAAUUAGAGUGUUUAAAGCAAGCUAACGCUUGAAUACAUUAGCAUGGAAUAAUGAAAUAGGACGACCGAUCCUAUUUUGUUGGCUUCUAGGAUUGACGUA
Molecule: ribosomal RNA, 216 nt
Filed under: Glomeromycotina sp.
Lineage: Eukaryota; Fungi; Glomeromycota
Description: partial small subunit ribosomal RNA
Rfam family: Eukaryotic small subunit ribosomal RNA (bases 44-216)
Source: RNAcentral